This 428-nucleotide ribosomal RNA is filed under the name uncultured bacterium. RNAcentral's name for it is "bacterial SSU rRNA". It matches the Rfam family "Bacterial small subunit ribosomal RNA", at positions 355 to 776 of the family's 1533-position model. The record is from RNAcentral.
UGGGGAAUAUUGGACAAUGGGCGCAAGCCUGAUCCAGCCACGCCGCGUGAGUGAUGAAGGCCUUCGGGUCGUAAAGCUCUGUGGGGAGAGACGAACCGCUGCGGGUUAACAUCCGGCAGCAUGACGGUAUCUCCUUAGCAAGCACCGGCUAACUUCGUGCCAGCAGCCGCGGUAAUACGAAGGGUGCAAACGUUGCUCGGAAUUAUUGGGCGUAAAGCGCACGUAGGCGGGUUCGAAAGUCGGAUGUGAAAGCCCUCGGCUCAACCAAGGAAGUGCAUCCGAAACUGUGAAUCUUGAGUACCAAAGAGGAUCGCGGAAUUCCCGGUGUAGAGGUGAAAUUCGUAGAUAUCGGGAGGAACACCAGUGGCGAAGGCGGCGAUCUGGGUGGAUACUGACGCUGAGGUGCGAAAGCGUGGGGAGCAAACAGG